UGGGGAAUAUUGCACAAUGAGCGAAAGCCUGAUGCAGCAACGCCGCGUGAGCGAAGAAGGUCUUCGGAUCGUAAAGCUCUGUCCUUGGGGAAGAUAAUGACGGUACCCUUGGAGGAAGCCCCGGCUAACUACGUGCCAGCAGCCGCGGUAAUACGUAGGGGGCAAGCGUUAUCCGGAAUUAUUGGGCGUAAAGAGUGCGUAGGUGGUUACCUAAGCAGGGGGUGAAAGGCACUGGCUUAACCAAUGUCAGCCCCCUGAACUGGGUACCUUGAGUGCAGGAGAGGAAAGCGGAAUUCCUAGUGUAGCGGUGAAAUGCGUAGAUAUUAGGAGGAACACCAGUGGCGAAGGCGGCUUUCUGGACUGUUACUGACACUGAGGCACGAAAGUGUGGGGAGCAAACAGGAUUAGAUACCCUGGUAGUCCACACCGUAAACGAUGAGCACUAGGUGUCGGGGUCGCAAGACUUCGGUGCCGCAGUUAACGCAUUAAGUGCUCCGCCUGGGGAGUACGUACGCAAGUAUGAAACUCAAAGGAAUUGACGGGGACCCGCACAAGCAGCGGAGCAUGUGGUUUAAUUCGAAGCAACGCGAAGAACCUUACCAGGACUUGACAUCCCUCUGAAACCCCUGAUAACGAAGGGGCCUCUUCGGACAGAGGAGACAGGUGGUGCAUGGUUGUCGUCAGCUCGUGUCGUGAGAUGUUGGGUUAAGUCCCGCAACGAGCGCAACCCUUGCUGUUAGUUGCCAUCAUUAAGUUGGGGACUCUGGCGAGACUGCCGGUGACAAGCCGGAGGAAGGCGGGGAUGACGUCAAAUCAUCAUGCCCCUUAUGACCUGGGCUACACACGUGCUACAAUGGACAGAGCAGAGGGAAGCGAAGCCGCGAGGUGGAGCGAAACCCAUAAAACUGUUCUCAGUUCGGACUGCAGUCUGCAACUCGACUGCACGAAGAUGGAAUCGCUAGUAAUCGCGAAUCAGCAUGUCGCGGUGAAUACGUUCUC
RNAcentral lists this ribosomal RNA (999 nucleotides) under uncultured bacterium. RNAcentral describes it as "bacterial SSU rRNA". It matches the Rfam family "Bacterial small subunit ribosomal RNA", at positions 355 to 1375 of the family's 1533-position model. The record is from RNAcentral.